Molecule: long non-coding RNA, 1650 nt
Filed under: Anser cygnoides (Swan goose)
Lineage: Eukaryota; Metazoa; Chordata; Aves; Anseriformes; Anatidae
Description: lncRNA (ENSACDG00005000032.1)
Source: RNAcentral
AUGUUAUUCCAGCCAAAUUCGCACAGCGGGGCCCCGACCUCCAUCCUGCCCCCCGACAAAGGCCGCUCCUGGGUCUCCUGGGACUGGCAGCUCCGGGCGAGGGCUGCAGCGUGCGUGGGGGAUGCGCCGCCAGCCGCCCCCCUGGGAUCCCGGCUGUCACCACCCCCCGCGGGGGCUGCUGUCAGCCUGGGGGGACAGGCAGGCAGCCUCUCGCUGCCGGUACCUGCUGCAGCGCUUUCCUUAAUGAUGAGUUCAGCUCGCCUGUCCCCCCAAUUAACUCCACCGCUCCAGCUCGUCAGGCUGCACUCCCGGAGCAGCGCCUCGGCGAAGGGCUGCGCGCGCCGCUCAGCACAGCCGCACGGGCACAGCAGCGGGCCCGGCGUUUUCUCCCACAGCCACCGCCGGUCGUUACGGAGCCGACGGGCGUCUGGAAGUUUGGAGGGAACGCGUCCGGGGCGCGUGGCGCUGGGAGCAGGGUGCAGGGCGCUGCUCCUGCGCCCGUCGCUGCCCCGGGGCCGGCAGGCAGCGCGGCCACGUCGCGCACAUCGAGCUGCCCGCCUGCCUCCUGGCCUCCGUCCGGGAGGGCAGCAGGUGACGGGAAAGCGAGACCCGGCCUGGACGGAGAUGAAAGGCGGCCUCGCAGCUGCGGACACCCGACGCCACCUGCCCCGGCGCGCGGGCGGGCCGGCAGCCGGGAUGUCCUUGUCCCCACGCGCUGCGCCCCGGCGGUGCCGUGCCAGCAGCUCCCUGCCCGCCGGGGAGCCCCCUGCUCCCCACGCCCCGGCGCAGAGCCCCCGGGGCCUCCUUCCAGAGAGAGGACAGGGCCCGGCUGUCCGUCCCAGCCGCCCGCCCGCCCCAUGCCAGCAGAUCCCCCGCACCCUCACCCACCCGAGGGUGCUCACCCCCCACAGCGGGCUCACUUGCGUGCCGUGCCACCGACCCUCCCCAGUCCCUAAGACCACCAGCCCAGGGAAUUUGCUUGUUUUUCCCAGCCUGUUGUCCCUCCCAGGUCGUGCCCACCCAUCUCUUGUGCUGCCAGCGUGGUACCCAGCCAGCUGUCCGUCCGUCCGCCUGUCCGUCCGCCCCCAGCAGUGCACACCCCCCUGCCUCCCUCCAGCCAAGCCAGAGGACGCCUGGGGCACGCUUGGGGGGCAGAGGGGCUCUGGGACACGGCCACUGGCCCUGCUGUCACCUGGAAGGGGUGACAAAACUUGUGCAAGCGUCCCUGCCCGGUGCCUCCUGGGGUCCCCACAUGUUUUUCAAGGCUGGAAGGGGGGAAAUAGCUGCCUGUCACCAACCGCCCUGUCGCCUCACCACCUCCCUCCCAGGGCGCCAAUAAAUACCCUGCCCCACACCUGCGUGGUUAUUAGCCUCCUCUCGCCCCGGGGAAGUUGUUCCUACUGUUUCCUUCCUGCCUCCGAGCCAGGUUUGCUUCCAAAACAGGUGUUUCCCCAGGGAUGCUGCAGGCACCCCCGCUGCGGUAUCCCAGGCCAAUGUCUCCCGGCCUGCCCUCAGCCCCGGGGGAGCUGCAAGAAGGUGCUCGGUCUUUGGGGGAAGAGCCUCGGCUGGUUAUUAACUGCCCCCCAAGGAGUUCUCCCACCUCGAGUCUCUGCAAAGCUCACGUUGGUGGUGGGGAAAAAAAUAAAAUAA